CGAUAUUUUCGCGUCGGAAUUAAAGCUGCUGUUGGGCCACCGGAGCUUCUGGCCGCUCACGGAUCUUUUGUCGGGGCAAUUUGAAGUCGUAGCUGCUUCGCUUGUUAGUAUAGUUUGAGUUUCGGUGAUUUCGUGUCGCAUAAGUGUUGCGGAGGCUGCCGUGUCAUUCCUUUUAUUUUAGAAGUAGUAGCUGAGCUUAUACGUGGCGCUGAGGCUGUUUCUUAUAUUGAGAAAAACACGCAGAGUCGGGAUUUUGAUUGUGGUUUCGAGCUGAGGCGAAAAGGACUCUGAGAGACGUUUGGGUUAUGGAAUUUGCGUUUUGAGGUAGAGGCGCUUUCCAAAAUCUAUAUUUUAUAUAUUGGAA
Non-coding RNA from Arachis ipaensis, 364 nucleotides. NCBI's taxonomy places the organism in Eukaryota, Viridiplantae, Streptophyta, Magnoliopsida, Fabales, Fabaceae. The record is from RefSeq and is a predicted model, not a curated record.